GAUGAACGCUGGCGGCGUGCCUAAUACAUGCAAGUCGAGCGAACGGACGAGAAGCUUGCUUCUCUGAUGUUAGCGGCGGACGGGUGAGUAACACGUGGAUAACCUACCUAUAAGACUGGGAUAACUUCGGGAAACCGGAGCUAAUACCGGAUAAUAUUUUGAACCGCAUGGUUCAAAAGUGAAAGACGGUCUUGCUGUCACUUAUAGAUGGAUCCGCGCUGCAUUAGCUAGUUGGUAAGGUAACGGCUUACCAAGGCAACGAUGCAUAGCCGACCUGAGAGGGUGAUCGGCCACACUGGAACUGAGACACGGUCCAGACUCCUACGGGAGGCAGCAGUAGGGAAUCUUCCGCAAUGGGCGAAAGCCUGACGGAGCAACGCCGCGUGAGUGAUGAAGGUCUUCGGAUCGUAAAACUCUGUUAUUAGGGAAGAACAUAUGUGUAAGUAACUGUGCACAUCUUGACGGUACCUAAUCAGAAAGCCACGGCUAACUACGUGCCAGCAGCCGCGGUAAUACGUAGGUGGCAAGCGUUAUCCGGAAUUAUUGGGCGUAAAGCGCGCGUAGGCGGUUUUUUAAGUCUGAUGUGAAAGCCCACGGCUCAACCGUGGAGGGUCAUUGGAAACUGGAAAACUUGAGUGCAGAAGAGGAAAGUGGAAUUCCAUGUGUAGCGGUGAAAUGCGCAGAGAUAUGGAGGAACACCAGUGGCGAAGGCGACUUUCUGGUCUGUAACUGACGCUGAUGUGCGAAAGCGUGGGGAUCAAACAGGAUUAGAUACCCUGGUAGUCCACGCCGUAAACGAUGAGUGCUAAGUGUUAGGGGGUUUCCGCCCCUUAGUGCUGCAGCUAACGCAUUAAGCACUCCGCCUGGGGAGUACGACCGCAAGGUUGAAACUCAAAGGAAUUGACGGGGACCCGCACAAGCGGUGGAGCAUGUGGUUUAAUUCGAAGCAACGCGAAGAACCUUACCAAAUCUUGACAUCCUUUGACAACUCUAGAGAUAGAGCUUUCCCCUUCGGGGGACAAAGUGACAGGUGGUGCAUGGUUGUCGUCAGCUCGUGUCGUGAGAUGUUGGGUUAAGUCCCGCAACGAGCGCAACCCUUAAGCUUAGCUGCCAUCAUUAAGUUGGGCACUCUAAGUUGACUGCCGGUGACAAACCGGAGGAAGGUGGGGAUGACGUCAAAUCAUCAUGCCCCUUAUGAUUUGGGCUACACACGUGCUACAAUGGACAAUACAAAGGGCAGCGAAACCGCGAGGUCAAGCAAAUCCCAUAAAGUUGUUCUCAGUUCGGAUUGUAGUCUGCAACUCGACUACAUGAAGCUGGAAUCGCUAGUAAUCGUAGAUCAGCAUGCUACGGUGAAUACGUUCCCGGGUCU
Molecule: ribosomal RNA, 1372 nt
Filed under: uncultured bacterium
Lineage: Bacteria
Description: bacterial SSU rRNA
Rfam family: Bacterial small subunit ribosomal RNA
Source: RNAcentral